RNAcentral lists this ribosomal RNA (1544 nucleotides) under metagenome. Its description in RNAcentral is "bacterial SSU rRNA". It matches the Rfam family "Bacterial small subunit ribosomal RNA". The record is from RNAcentral.
AGGGUUUGAUCCUGGCUCAGAGUGAACGCUGGCGGCGUGGAUUAGGCAUGCAAGUCGAGCGAUCUUUAUUAUUGAAGUUCUUGAAAGCUUCGGCCGGAUGGAAUGGAUUUAAUUGAGAUAGCGGCAAACGGGUGAGGAACACGUGGGUAACGUGCCUUAAGGAGAGUAACAGCCCUGCGAAAGUGGGGGUAAUGACUCGUAAGCUUUAAACCUGCAAUGGUUUUUUGGAAAGACGGCCUCUACUUGUAAGCUGUCACCUUAAGAGCGGCCCGCGGCCUAUCAGGUAGUUGGUGGGGUAAUGGCCCACCAAGCCAAAGACGGGUAGCUGGCUUAAGAGAGUGGUCAGCCACAUCGGAACUGAGACACUGUCCGGACUCCUACGGGAGGCUGCAGUCGAGGAUCUUUCUCAAUGGGGGAAACCCUGAAGAUGCGACGCCGCGUGAGGGAUGAAGGCCUUCGGGUUGUAAACUUCUUUUAUCGGGGAGCAAUACCGGUGUGUUAACUGCACACUGGGGUGACUGUACCCGUUGAAUAAGCCACGGCUAACUCCGUGCCAGCAGCCGCGGUAAUACGGAGGUGGCAAGCGUUACUCGGUUUGACUGGGUGUAAAGGGUCCGCAGGCGGUCAGGUAUGUAAAAGGUGAAAUCCUUCGGCUCAACCGUAGAAUUGCCUUUUAAACUGCUUGGCUUGAGAUUGGGAGAGGAGAGUGGAACUGACGGUGUAAAGGUGAAAUUUGUGGAUAUCGUCAGGAACACCCGUGGGGAAGCCGGCUCUCUGGCCCAAUUCUGACGCUCAGGGACGAAAGCUAGGGGAGCAAACAGAAUUAGAUACUCUGGUAGUCCUAGCCGUAAACGAUGGGCACUAGGUGCUUGCUUUUUAAAGUGGGUGCCGUAGCUAACGCGUUAAGUGCCCCACCUGGGGACUACGGCCGCAAGGCUAAAACUCAAAGGAAUUGACGGGGGCCCGCACAAGCGGUGGAACACGUGGUUUAAUUCGAUGCUACGCGAUGAACCUUACCAAGGUUUGACAUGCUAGAAGUAGUAUCUCGAAAGAGAGUCCGACCUGUAUCCAAUCAGGAACUAGCACAGGUGCUGCAUGGCUGUCGUCAGCUCGUGCCGUGAGGUGUUUCCUUAAGUGGAAGAACGAGCGCAACCCUCGUCUUUAGUUGCCACCUACAGUGUUGAACUGUAGAGCACUCUAAAGAGACUGCCCGCGUUAAGUGGGAGGAAGGUGAGGACGACGUCAAGUCCGCAUGGCCUUUAUAUCUUGGGCUACACACGUGUUACAAUGCCUACUACAAUGGGACGCCAAGUCGUAAGAUGGAGCAAAUCCUUAUAAAAGUAGGCCCAGUUCGGAUUGAGGGCUGCAACUCGUCCUCAUGAAGCUGGAAUCGCUAGUAAUGGCGUAUCAGCUACGACGCCGUGAAUACGUUCCCGGGCCUUGUACACACCGCCCGUCAAGCGCUGAAAGUGGGGGGUACCCGAAGUCUCGAUUUAUCAAGAUCACGGUAAAUUUCAUGAUUGGCGCUAAGUCGGAACAAGGUA